CUGAGCGAGCAUGCCGCGUGAACGAUGAAGGUCUUCGGAUCGUAAAGUUCUGUUGUUAGGGAAGAACAGGUUUGUGAGGAAAUGCGCAGGCCUUGACGGUACCUAACCAGAAAGCUCCGGCUAACUACGUGCCAGCAGCCGCGGUAAUACGUAGGGAGCGAGCGUUAUCCGGAAUUAUUGGGCGUAAAGCGUGCGUAGGCGGCUUCUUAAGUCGAACGUGAAAUGCCACGGCUUAACCGUGGAAGGUCGUUCGAAACUGGGUAGCUAGAGUACGGCAGAGGUUAGUGGAAUGCAAUGUGUAGCGGUAAAAUGCGUAGAUAUAUUGCGGAACACCAGUGGCGAAGGCGGCUAACUGGACCGGAACUGAC
Molecule: ribosomal RNA, 368 nt
Filed under: uncultured bacterium
Lineage: Bacteria
Description: bacterial SSU rRNA
Rfam family: Bacterial small subunit ribosomal RNA
Source: RNAcentral